CCUCGCUCUGUACACCACGCAGCGAGGUCAGCAUAUCCACGAUAUCCACGAUAUCCUCAGCUCCAUGAGUUAACACAAAGUUUCCCAGCUGACUAUCUAAAUUCCAACUAUUCCAGAGACGUGAAAAUAUACAGCAUAAAGAAAAGUGUAAGAGACUCAGCAGCAGAUUAGAAUAACAGUUAUACAUUUAAUAAAUCACCAAAUGAAUCCAAGAAACGAGCAAACCUGUUCCGACAAUUUGAGUUUGUAUUCCCUCAGCUGCAGACUCGCUGCUGUUUAAAUGUUUGAAAAGGAAGAUUAGAUAUAAACAAACGUCAAACAUAGACUCAGUCUGCCUUCACAUUUGAUAUGAGGCCAGCACGUAUAGUGGCUGUGUCCUGUUUUAAGAUCAUACAUGUAAAAUUGUUGUCUGACCUCCGUCGAGCCAGCCGCUCAGAGUCCGUGGUUACCAUGGUUACUGCAUAAGCAGCUAUAAUGUUAACAGCUGGCACUGAGGAAACCUACCGGCAGCAUGGGUGUUUAUGUUUUUCAUUGCAAAAGAACCGUCUGAAUGGUUAACUGAAGUUAACUUGGAUAAAUUAUAGUUAAGGAGUAUCACAGAUAACGCCUACGUGAGCUGUUCGACUGUUCACCACUACACUGAAAUCAGCAGGCUAUUACUGAAAUACACGUGCUAUAUCAUAAACUAUGAUAUAAAUUAGGGAGGUCCUAUUAACAUGUUUAGUUUUAAAGGACACCUUCCUGCCUUUAGUCUCCUUCAUGAGCAGUAUUAGUUUUCUUCUAACAUCCAGAAGUCUGCACGAUGUGUUUCAUAGUUUGUAACAAGCCUUUGACAGGUAAACAUAACAUGACCGAAAAAGCAAAAAAAAAAAAAAAAAAAAAAAAAAAAAAAAAAAAAAAAAAAAAAAAAGAGAGAGAGAGUGUUGACAUAAGAAGAGAAAAUGCUCUCAAUUAUGGAGACAGGCAAAUGGUUCAUUUAUGUUUGAUGUGUGUUUAUUCCUCCCUAAAUAUCGUCGGUGAAGUUUGCCAUGCACGUCAGCUUUUCCUGCGCAUUUUUAUACCUCUGCCAACAGAGAGAGAAAAAAAAAUCACAUUCUAACAGACAGCUGGUGCUUAGAAUACAGUUGAAUAAGUAUUAAAAAACAGAUGAUAUUUAGAUGAUAGUUCAGUCUAACACAUGUGCCAGUGAACCAUUAAACGUCUGUGAAACUAUGCAGUUAUGAAACGUAACUUUAACCUCAGCCAAACCGAUUUGCUCAGUUGUAAAUAAAACAGCGAAGUAAACGUGACCCGACAGACAGAACCUGAGUGAAUGAAGUCCAGCGUUUAACCACUGAGAGCUAAAACUCAGCUGAAGUGUCAAAGCUGUUUGCCGGUGAUUGGACAUCAGCCGCUGAUGAAGCUGGUUCGCUUAUAAAGUGCUCUGUAAGGAAACAAGCUCCAGCAGCUCUGCGCUCGGGGAAAACACUAUAUUUCCUUAUCUUGUGCAGAAAAAUGCGCUGACAUUGCGUUAUAUCGAGUACCGGCUGCCCAGUUAAACUGUGACUAUCACCAGGAAACGUAGGCGUGUUUCUUGAAUUAGCAGCAGGUGUUAAACAGCUGACAGAUGAGGAGGAGAAUGCAUGCAGGUAAACUGAGGGUCUGUUGAGCUGAUCGCUGGUUUCGUGAGAAAAAUGUCAGCUCGUUCUUUAUGUUACAGAAGCACAGAGACACAAGACCAGGCGGAAAGAGACGAUCGUUCGGUGAAAAUAAGAAUCUGAGAAUGCAACAUGUGGAACACGGAGAGUAAACAAACCGG
Molecule: long non-coding RNA, 1798 nt
Organism: Astatotilapia calliptera (eastern happy)
Lineage: Eukaryota; Metazoa; Chordata; Actinopteri; Cichliformes; Cichlidae
Source: Ensembl